CCUACAGUGAGCUGCAGUGGGGAAUAUUGGGCAAUGUGCGCAAGCCUGACCCAGCAACGCCGCGUGAAGGAAGAAGGCUUUCGGGUUGUAAACUUCUUUUGUCAGUGACGAAGCAAGGCACGGUACCUGACGAAUAAGCCACGGCUAACUAUGUGCCAGCAGCCGCGGUAAUACGUAGGUGACAAGCGUUAUCCGGAUUCAUGGGGUGUAAAUGGCGUGUAGGCGGGAAUGCAAGUCAGAUGUGAAAACUAUGGGCUCAACCCAUAGCCUGCAUUUGAAACUGUAUUUCUUGAGUGCUGGAGAGGCAAUCGGAAUUCCGUGUGUAGCGGUGAAAUGCGUAGAUAUACGGAGGAACACCAGUGGCGAAGGCGGAUUGCUGGACAGUAACUGACGCUGAGGCGCGAAAGCGUGGGGAGCAAACAGGAUUAGAUACCCGUGUAGUC
RNAcentral lists this ribosomal RNA (443 nucleotides) under uncultured bacterium. RNAcentral describes it as "partial 16S ribosomal RNA". It matches the Rfam family "Bacterial small subunit ribosomal RNA", at positions 338 to 795 of the family's 1533-position model. The record is from RNAcentral.